UUUUUAUUACUCCUAAAUGUUUAUCGCAUUAUAACCUAAAUAAAUACCAUUAGCCGUUUGUAAUAUAUGUAUAGAUUAAAGUGCACGUAUUUCUUGCAGAAAAAGUCGGUGUUAUGUUUUAUGAUUUUUUAAGAAUAACUAAGAAAUCGGAUUUCUGUCCUAGGGAAAAGAACUCAGAUUUGAGCCGUUUACAUGAACAAUCGAGGAGAGAAACACCUGAGCAAAUGCUCUAGAUUGGUUUGAUUAUGGGUCUAAUAAAUAUUUUACGUAUUGCGUAGCAGGCGAUUGACCGCUAUUGUGCAGAAGAACAGCGGUGGCUGUUUCUGCUGAAUCAGCGGCUGGCGACGCGCCAAGGUUUUGAUGGUCAUUGCAGCUAUCAAUGGAUGGUCAUCCAGAGGUAUAUUGAACCCAACAAAGAUCGAAGAGGCGAACUAAUGCUGAAUUAUACAUAAACAAUGGAAUGAUUGAAAUCAGCUUCUUGUUUCGAUUAACAUUGUACCUUAAUUCAUUGAUAUCAACUAUUGUUUUGAAUACAUUUUGUUUAUAUAAUUUACUUUGUCUAUGACUUGAUCCUUCAGUACUAUGAGGUAUGUCUAUGACUUGACCCUUCAGUACUACGGUGUAUGCUUCGGUAGUUAUGAUAUGUUUGGGUGUUUGGAAGGCAGAAUAUGAAAGCAUACGACUUGUACAUUACAACUGAGUUGCUACAUGUCCUGUAUAUUCCGAAUCUGCCGACAUUUUGACCGCUAUAUUCACGUAGGUUCCGCUCGAUAGUUCCUUGUGCAUUGUCAAUGUGCACGGAGUCGGGGACGUUCUCUCCCGAGUAUAAAAAUCGGAGAAAAAUUUUUGUGAACUGGUUUUGUUAUCAACAGAUAUGAAGAUUUACAAAUUGGAGAGAAACGCUAAUUAAAUGAGCCAAAGGGCAUUAUAUUUGACCUCUAUAUAUUUUGAUAUCAAUAUCUAAAUGUUUUAAAUUAAUGCUUUUGAUUAUUAGCAUGAGAUUUAAAUAAUUCAAAGUCAUAAAUAAACAUGUAUAUCUAUAUGGGGUUCAUGAAAUUAUCGAGCCAGAGAUAUGCAAGUGCUAUUUAAGGGUAAAAUUUUACAUGAAGCUUACUUAGACUUGUCAAAAUAUUUAUCUAGUAAUACUUAUAAACACUCAUCAAUACAUUUUUGUAUCAAUCAAAUAAGAAUAUUUGAAAUAGAAAUGGCAAACAGGAAGCAGUUAUGAAAGAGAAAAUUUUACCCAUCCCUUUAAAGGUACCAGUGCUCCAAUUUUUAUGUUUUUUUUUUUAUUAAAGUUAUCAAUACUACGACAUUCUAUGAUUAAAAUGGAUAUAGAAACUACGUUUGUAGAGAUGUAAAUGAAAAUAGUUUCAAAAGAUUUUACACACUUUCUUCCUAAACCCGAACCGAAUGCAGACCACGUGACUAUCCUAUGAGCAUACCCCGUGCUAUUUUCCCAGCAAUUGUUGGAUCUGUGCAUAUUUAACUACCCUUUAGUGUUUUAUACAUGAGCUGACAUAAUGAAUUUAGUCUGAUAUGUCCUUGUUCUUAAUAUACAGACAGUCAAUGAACUCACCAACGCCUUUGGUUUAUUCCGACCGCGUGUGAAGAAUGCACGCGCAAUGCCAUACAUUAUGUAAGCUAAUUUAGUUAAGAAUGAACUAAAGAUUUAGACCUGAUCCUUUCAUCUGGGAUGAAAUCAAAAGUUUUACGAUGCAUGAAUUAUUAUAUAUCAUAUACAUUAGCUAUGGUUGUUUGGAACCAACAACAUUAACUUUUUGUACGUUUGUGAAAUCUAAAUUUAAAAAAUCUACCAAACUUUACGUUUGGGGAUUAAUUUGGGACCUGUGUAAGUUACUGUAUAAAAUGUUCGCACUUUUAUUCAGCUUGUAGGUAAAAUGUCCAGAGUUUACAAAUCGAUAAAUUCUUAAAAAGAAUGUUUAAUCCUAUAUUGUUUUAUUUUUUUUAUUCGAUAAGGUCAAAAUUACCCAAUAUGAAUGUGGUUCGGGGGCAUGUAAUGUCCUUGAGAUCUGAUAUACAUAAUGGGGUAUUGUAUUGAUCUGUUUCAAUCUUCUUUGGUCUGUAACUUUGACCUUGGUCAUAACAUUUGAACUAUAUUCUCUACAAUAAAACAGAUUACUUUUUUGAUGAAUUGUUAAGGUCACGUUCAUUGUUGAAGGUCAAGGUCAUCCAUCAAGAAUGUGGUCAAUCUCGGGGACAUUGUGUUUUACAAACACACCUUGUUUUUUAUCAGUAAUUGGUUUGAAAGUACUUCCCUUUUGACUUUCAUAUACGUGUAAUUGAUGUAACACAAAGAAACGAAAUCAUGUGUCAGAGGUACUUAUGCUUAGCCGCAGCUCCUAUUUAAUCAAUAAAACUGAAGAUAGCUUUAAUACAAAAUUUUGUCAUAUUAUCUUCUUUAUAGAUGCAGAUCAGUAAGGGAUGAAUUUUAACUAAUAGUCCUGGAAACGUUUACCUCGGAAGAAAUGAAGGGGGAAAACCGUGAAAUUCUCGAUAACAAAUUAAUCCCAUUUUAAGCCUUCUCCUUUGAUUACGUUAAACAAACUAGGAACCGGUAUAAUUAGGUAUUGAUUAGGCCUUCUAUAAAAAUUGUUCCUGUAGGUAAUAAAACAAAUGUCACUCGUUCCGUGCACGUCGGCCGCAGUGCAGUAGAGCAUGUUUCUACAAAGAGGUGUAAAUAUUUGAUAUUCAGAAGGGAUCCAACACGAGUCUGUUAAAUUUCACACACAAUACGCUACAAGGUGCUUGUAAGAUAAAUCAUAUUAACUUGGCUGUUACAGAACAAGUCUCCUCCGACAUUGAUUUUAGGUGGUGUGUAUAUAUAUAUAUAUAUAUAUAUUAACACUGUUUAGACAUUAUAUGAUAUGAUAAUAUAACUUCAUAUAUAUUGAACUCAUGGCCUUGGGCUUACCACUGCUUUUUGUCAGAAAUAUAAAUGAACUACUGUGUAUAUGGUGGUGAAGAUUUAUUGAUGAAAAGUUACCUCAGUACCCCUUGCUUGUUGUAAGAGGCGACUAAAUGGGAUGGUCGUUCAAAUGAGACCGCAAAAACCGAGACACCGUGUCACAUCAGGUGUGGCACGAUAAAGAACUCUCCCUGCUCAAAGGCCGUAAGCGCUGAGCAUAGGCCUAAAUGUUGCAAGCCUUCACCGGCAGUGGUGACGUCUCCAUAAAUUAUGAGUGAAAAAUUCUCGAGGGGGACGUUAAACAAUAUACAAUCAAUUUAUAUACAAACCUUACAAUCAAAUAUAUCAAACUCGGCAAAUUAUGUAAAUUCGGUUAUCUUUGAAAAUAAUAAGUUCAAGACCCUCCUCCAAAGCCUUCUUUAUUUGCAAUGGCUGAUUGUAGUUGAUAUGAGUAGUGAAAAUGGGGAAAAAUUGAAUUCAAGAGAAGAGUAGUAAUUCAAAUGAAGACCGCAUACACUUUGUACUCCGGAUGAUGUACUAAUGUGACCUUCAUGCAUGUAAAUUUAUUAAGGUUACAAUUACUUUGAGGUUCAAUCCAAGGUCAGUUUGUACAGUAUUGUAUGUUAGAUUUGUACAGUAUUGUAUGUUAGAGUUGUACAGUAUUGUAUGUUAGAGUUGUACAGUAUUGUAUGUUAGAGUUGUGGUUAACAUAGAGGCCUGGAAGGACAUGUGAAGUGUAGUAAAAAAAAAAAAAAAAAAAAAAAAAAACAACCAUGAGAACUCCCUGAUUUACAAGCGAAGCACAUCAUCUAGAUUAGAUCCCAUAUAACACAGUCAUACUUCGGUAAUCAAAUUGAGGCCGUCAUUCAUAGUGAGAAUAUUUUCUAUACAGAUUGUGGGCACAAAUUUUCAUAUAUUUGCUUCUGUCAGCAUCGUAGUAUCGACAACCAUACAGAACAGGAAAGGGUUAUCUAAUGCAAUUACGGCGUGUAGAAAUACUCGGGUAUAGUUUUAAUACAAUAAUUUGAUUGCAUCGCCACUUCUUAUCAAAUUCAAUAGAUUUUCUUUUUUCUUGGAGACGGAAAAAGAGGAUUUGAUGGUUCAGAUGAAUCGAACUCGGAAUGACAAAUCAAAUCGGCGAGAGGCUGCGUAUUGUGCAAUGUCGUUGGUACAGUAAUGGUUUUUCUGUACAAUAAAUCGUGGAACCUGGUCGAUCAGCAGCGUAUAAUUUGAUGUCAGUAAAACCAUUAAACGAAGAAUGAAUGGUUUUAAUUUCAUUCAUAAUGACACAAGAUUACAGUGUUUCAACAGAAUUUAACCAGGUCUUGGUAAUUACAAUCGGCUCGUUUGAAUAUUAAACCAGAACCAGUAUUG
Molecule: long non-coding RNA, 4303 nt
Organism: Ostrea edulis (European flat oyster)
Lineage: Eukaryota; Metazoa; Mollusca; Bivalvia; Ostreida; Ostreidae
Exons: 2
Source: RefSeq, a predicted model, not a curated record